Molecule: ribosomal RNA, 420 nt
Filed under: uncultured Nitrososphaerota archaeon
Lineage: Archaea; Thermoproteati; Nitrososphaerota
Description: bacterial SSU rRNA
Rfam family: Archaeal small subunit ribosomal RNA
Source: RNAcentral
CAGCCGCCGCGGUAACACCAGCCCCUCGAGUGGUGGGGAUGAUUAUUUGGCCUAAAGCGUCCGUAGCCGGCCGAGCAAGUCUUCCGUUAAAUCCAGCGUCUCAAGCGUUGGACCGCGGGAGAUACUACACGGCUAGAGAGUGGGAGAGGUCAGCGGUAUUCUGGGGGUAGGGGCGAAAUCCUUUGAUCCCCGGAGGACCACCAGUGGCGAAGGCUGCUGACUAGAACACGUCUGACGGUGAGGGACGAAAGCUGGGGUAGCGAAUCGGAUUAGAUACCCGAGUAGUCCCAGCCGUAAACGAUGCAGGCUAGGUGUUGGGUCGGCCAUGUGCUGGCCCAGUGCCACAGGGAAGCCAUUAAGCCUGCCGCCUGGGGAGUACGGCCGCAAGGCUGAAACUUAAAGGAAUUGGCGGGGGAGCAC